UAGGGAAUCUUCGGCAAUGGACGAAAGUCUGACCGAGCAACGCCGCGUGAGUGAAGAAGGUUUUCGGAUCGUAAAACUCUGUUGUUAGAGAAGAACAAGGACGUUAGUAACUGAACGUCCCCUGACGGUAUCUAACCAGAAAGCCACGGCUAACUACGUGCCAGCAGCCGCGGUAAUACGUAGGUGGCAAGCGUUGUCCGGCUUUAUUGGUCGUAAAGCGAGCGCAGGCGGUUUCUUGAGUCUGAUGUGAAAGCCCCCGGCUCCACCGGGGGGGGUCAUUGGGAACUGGGAGGGGUGAGUGCGGAAGGGGGGAGUGGAAUUCGGUGUGUGGCGGUGAAAGGCGUAGAUAUAAGGAGAAAAACAAGUGGCGAGGGAGGCUCUCUGGUCUGUAACUGACGCUGAGGCUCGAAAGCGUGGGGAGCAAACAGG
RNAcentral lists this ribosomal RNA (429 nucleotides) under Gemmatimonadota bacterium. RNAcentral's name for it is "Gemmatimonadetes bacterium partial 16S ribosomal RNA". It matches the Rfam family "Bacterial small subunit ribosomal RNA", at positions 355 to 776 of the family's 1533-position model. Lineage: Bacteria; Pseudomonadati; Gemmatimonadota. The record is from RNAcentral.